Molecule: long non-coding RNA, 494 nt
Organism: Hemiscyllium ocellatum (epaulette shark)
Lineage: Eukaryota; Metazoa; Chordata; Chondrichthyes; Orectolobiformes; Hemiscylliidae
Exons: 3
Source: RefSeq, a predicted model, not a curated record
CCGUACUGCAACACCAAUGGUUUCCGAACAACUUCUACACUCUUCUACUAAAAAAAAAUUCUGAAGUCCAUAUUUUUCUUAAGAAAUGUCAGUUUUCGAAAACCUUGCUAUUUUCAAUGGAAUAACGCCGUCGCUACUCUCCGUGGUGUCAAGCAUCGCCAGCAUCCACAAUUCUUCGUUUUACUCCAGUACCAAGACUUCGAUUCACAGAUUAUGCAGAACACUGAAUUUUCAACAUGAUGCGAUGUGGAGCAGAUAGGGAGAGUCAUUUCCAAAUGACGAUGCUGUCAGAGCUGCUGAGAUAGGGAAGAAACAAAAGGAAGAUUUGUGUUCAGGGAGAGGGCACAGAGAGAAGGUGAAUGGAGACAUGAUCUAGUGGCAAAAUUGAUAAGAGUGAAACACAAGAGACUGCUAAAUGGAUGGAUUUGUAACACCCCCUACUAAUUAUUUAGCCACAGUUAUCAUCCAGCCCUAUAACAAAAAAUCUCCAGUUA